Molecule: ribosomal RNA, 497 nt
Filed under: uncultured bacterium
Lineage: Bacteria
Description: partial 16S ribosomal RNA
Rfam family: Bacterial small subunit ribosomal RNA
Source: RNAcentral
GACGAACGCUGGCGGCGUGCCUAAUACAUGCAAGUAGAACGCUGAAGCUUGGUGCUUGCACCGAGCGGAUGAGUUGCGAACGGGUGAGUAACGCGUAGGUAACCUGCCUGGUAGCGGGGGAUAACUAUUGGAAACGAUAGCUAAUACCGCAUAAGAGUAGAUGUUGCAUGACAUUUGCUUAAAAGGUGCAAUUGCAUCACUACCAGAUGGACCUGCGUUGUAUUAGCUAGUUGGUGAGGUAACGGCUCACCAAGGCAACGAUACAUAGCCGACCUGAGAGGGUGAUCAGCCACACUGGGACUGAGACACGGCCCAGACUCCUACGGGAGGCAGCAGUAGGGAAUCUUCGGCAAUGGACGGAAGUCUGACCGAGCAACGCCGCGUGAGUGAAGAAGGUUUUCGGAUCGUAAAGCUCUGUUGUAAGAGAAGAACGAGUGUGAGAGUGGAAAGUUCACACUGUGACGGUAUCUUACCAGAAAGGGACGGCUAACUACGUG